UAUGAUAAUGUCAACCUUUAGAUUCUGA
RNAcentral lists this small RNA (28 nucleotides) under Bombyx mori (domestic silkworm). RNAcentral describes it as "ovarian small RNA-23901". The record is from RNAcentral. Lineage: Eukaryota; Metazoa; Arthropoda; Insecta; Lepidoptera; Bombycidae.